AAAUCAGCCAAGCUUGUUCAUUGCGUAAGUCUUCUUUUAAUCUUGUAAUUCUUUUUUUGUCGGCCAUAGAUUCUAUGUAACCAAUUACAGAAUCCUAUAAAUUUGAAUCUUGCACUUUAGGUGUAUAGCAGAAAUUUUCUGCUGAUUUUCCCAGUAUUUUUUUUCCCCUUUGAAAAUACAUCAACUAGUAGAAUUGGAUUAACUUUUGGAUUCUUUAGAUGAGAUUUUCAGACUUUGAUUAUGUAGAUAAAGGGGUUGUCAAAUGUCAA
Molecule: unclassified non-coding RNA, 269 nt
Filed under: Hevea brasiliensis (rubber tree)
Lineage: Eukaryota; Viridiplantae; Streptophyta; Magnoliopsida; Malpighiales; Euphorbiaceae
Source: RNAcentral